AACGAACGCUGGCGGCGUGGCUAAGGCAUGCAAGUCGUACGGGAACAGUUUUGUAGCAAUACACGAUUGUUUCAGUGGCGGACGGGUGAGUAACGCAUGGGUAACGUGCCUUUUGCACCGGGAUAGCGUCGGGCCCGCAAGGGUCCUUUGCGAAAGUGACGGUAAUACCGGAUGACAUCGCGGAUUCGCAUGUUUCUGCGAUCAAAGGUGAGGACCGCAAGGCUUAUCGGCAUUAGAGCGGCCCAUGUCCUAUCAGCUUGUUGGUGAGGUAACGGCUCACCAAGGCUUUGACGGGUAGCCGGCGUGAGAGCGCGACCGGCCACAUCGGAACUGAGACACUGUCCGGACACCUACGGGUGGCUGCAGCAACGAAUAUUCCGCAAUGGGCGAAAGCCUGACGGAGCGACGCCGCGUGAAGGAUGAAGUCCCUCGGGAUGUAAACUUCAAUAGUUUGUCAGAAAAGAACUCGACCUAAUACGUCGAGUGUUGAUCAGCAAACGAAAGGGACGGCUAACUCCGUGCCAGCAGCCGCGGUAAGACGGAGGUCCCGAGCGUUGUUCGGAAUUAUUGGGCUUAAAGCGCGUGUAGGCGGAGUCGUAAGUACCUUGUGAAAUCCCCGGACUCAAUCCGGGAACUGCUUGGUAUACUGCGAUUCUCGAGGCAGGUAGAGGUCACUGGAACCUUAGGUGGAGCGGUGAAAUGCGUAGAUAUCUAAGGGAACGCCUGUGGCGAAAGCGGGUGACUGGGCCUGUCUGACGCUGAGACGCGAAAGCGUAGGGAGCAAACGGGAUUAGAUACCCCGGUAGUCUACGCCGUAAACGAUGCGCACUAGGUUCGAAGGUCUCUGACGAUCCUCGGACCGAAACAAAAGCGUUAAGUGCGCCGCCUGGGGAGUACGGCCGCAAGGCUAAAACUCAAAGGAAUUGACGGGGGCUCACACAAGCGGUGGAGCAUGUGGAUCAAUUCGAAGCAACGCGAAGAACCUUACCUGGGUUUGACAUGCACGGAUGCCCUCGAGGAAACUUGAGUAAGCUGCCUUUGGUGAAACGUGCACAGGUGCUGCAUGGCUGUCGUCAGCUCGUGCUGUGAAGUGUCGGGUUAAGUCCCUUAACGAGCGAAACCCUUAUCGCUAGUUGCCAGCGGGUCAUGCCGGGAACUCUAGUGAGACUGCCGGCGUCAAGCCGGAGGAAGGCGGGGACGACGUCAAGUCAUCAUGGCCUUUAUGCCCAGGGCGUCACACGUGCUACAAUGGGGUGGUACAGAGCGAUGCAAGACCGCAAGGUGGAGCAAAUCGCAGAAAACACCCCUCAGUUCGGAUUGAGGUCCGCAACCCGACCUCAUGAAGCUGGAAUCGCUAGUAAUCGCGUAUCAGCCACGACGCGGUGAAUAUGUUCCUGAGCCUGCACUCACCGC
Molecule: ribosomal RNA, 1413 nt
Filed under: uncultured bacterium
Lineage: Bacteria
Description: bacterial SSU rRNA
Rfam family: Bacterial small subunit ribosomal RNA
Source: RNAcentral